GAUUCUUCCCAAUUCUACCGCCACCAUUCUGGUUCAAGCUACCUGUAGAGACGGGGUUUCACCAUGUUAGCCAGGAUGGUCUCGAUCUUCUGACCUCGUGAUCCGUCCGCCUCAGCCUUCCAAAGUUCUGGGAUUACAGACGUGAGCCACCGCGCCCGGCCAAAAGAUCCAUAAACUUUGAGUCACCAGAUAGAGCUAACAUUUACCACAGAGGCAUGUAAAGAAAACGAUUCUAGCAGAGUAACUAUAAUACAAAAGAACAAUAUUCCAAUUAUGUUCCUAUGUUCUAUCCAGGAAGGUUUAAGAGGAGCCUUUUAAACUGAACUAUAUUCUAAGAGGUGGGAAAAAGUUUUCUUUUGUUUUUCUUAUUAACCGUACCUUGAAAGCCCCAAAUAAAUGUUCCUUGGUUUAGAUGCCCUGGUAGAUGACCAAAAAAGUUUGACCAGUUAUCAAAAUCUACAAAGACUAUAUGAGUCAUGGUUCGCAGGUAAUCCAAAUCUGGAAGCUCAACAAUUUCUUCCUCUGAGAAGAGAGAAAUAUCAACAUGAGUUCAGUAAGAAUUUGCUAAAAUCAUUCUGAUUUCAAGUCCAAAAAGUAUUAGAAGCCUAAUAUGCAAAAAUACUAACCUUGAAUGUUACUCAUUUCUAUCUAAACCUUUUUGUGAAAUCCAAAUCUGUACAUGACACCAUUUACACUUAAAUCAGAUAAAAAUAAUCUGAACAUUUCA
Molecule: long non-coding RNA, 727 nt
Filed under: Homo sapiens (human)
Lineage: Eukaryota; Metazoa; Chordata; Mammalia; Primates; Hominidae
Description: non-protein coding ZNF451-AS1:48
Source: RNAcentral